Molecule: non-coding RNA, 194 nt
Filed under: unclassified sequences
Description: IMES-1 RNA motif
Rfam family: IMES-1 RNA motif
Source: Rfam by way of RNAcentral
CGGUAACAGACUAAGAAGGGAACUGCAGAACCCAAAUUAGAAAGAAACCACAGGCAGAGAACAGAAGGGUGAAAGUUCAAGCAAGCUAGCCGGCAAAAAAGCAAACUUGACCACCAAGGAUAAAAGAGAUCUUAUCCAAGGAUGCAAAAGAUAAUCUCACUUUUGACACCCACUGAUCUCGAACUUAAAGAAAA